UGACGAGUGACGUAAGCAUUCCAGAUCACGCCCUUCUCCUCACUGCAUGACGUCUGCCAACUGUUGUUGAAUCCACUGAAGACGACUGAAUCAAGGUGUGGUUACGAAGUAUUCGUUUUCAGAAUCAGGAGCUCAGUGACGUCUGUAAGUAGAAAGACGCGGUGUCUCCAUUCAUGCACAAAGAUACAGCUUUUAAAAUCUCGCUUUAUUUUACAAAGAAGCUGUUUAAACUGGCUUUAGAUUGAACCUCUACCAGAGCGAAUUUGGAAGAGAGAUACAUCUUUAGUCUUGAAAUUGUCGAAGGAUUUAUAAACACCGAACUUAAUUCAGACGCCUGAUGCAUGUUUUAACAAUGAAUGGUUGAAAAAUUGAUGAACAACG
Long non-coding RNA from Exaiptasia diaphana, 381 nucleotides. RefSeq lists it as uncharacterized. The transcript is spliced from 4 exons. The record is from RefSeq and is a predicted model, not a curated record. NCBI's taxonomy places the organism in Eukaryota, Metazoa, Cnidaria, Anthozoa, Actiniaria, Aiptasiidae.